ACUCCUACGGGAGGCAGCAGUGGGGAAUAUUGCACAAUGGGCGCAAGCCUGAUGCAGCCAUGCCGCGUGUGUGAAGAAGGCCUUCGGGUUGUAAAGCACUUUCAGUUGUGAGGAAGGUGGUGUCGUUAAUAGCGGCAUCAUUUGACGUUAGCAACAGAAGAAGCACCGGCUAACUCCGUGCCAGCAGCCGCGGUAAUACGGAGGGUGCGAGCGUUAAUCGGAAUUACUGGGCGUAAAGCGCAUGCAGGUGGUUUGUUAAGUCAGAUGUGAAAGCCCGGGGCUCAACCUCGGAACUGCAUUUGAAACUGGCAGACUAGAGUACUGUAGAGGGGGGUAGAAUUUCAGGUGUAGCGGUGAAAUGCGUAGAGAUCUGAAGGAAUACCGGUGGCGAAGGCGGCCCCCUGGACAGAUACUGACACUCAGAUGCGAAAGCGUGGGGAGCAAACAGGAUUAGAUACCCUGGUAGCACAGAG
RNAcentral lists this ribosomal RNA (473 nucleotides) under uncultured bacterium. Its description in RNAcentral is "bacterial SSU rRNA". It matches the Rfam family "Bacterial small subunit ribosomal RNA", at positions 335 to 799 of the family's 1533-position model. The record is from RNAcentral.